This 2263-nucleotide long non-coding RNA is filed under the name Setaria viridis. RNAcentral describes it as "long non-coding RNA (SVIR_LNC001625)". The record is from RNAcentral. Lineage: Eukaryota; Viridiplantae; Streptophyta; Magnoliopsida; Poales; Poaceae.
GCCCAGUUUCUCGGUCAUAGACAACUCGGGCGUCAACUACUUUACCAUGCUCGCUGAACAACUGCACCAAUUUAGAGUCAUCCACUUGCCAUGGCAGGUUGCCCACAUAAAUCCUGAAAGAAGGCCCAAAUUGUCUGGGAGAUCUUUCUCUUUCCACACGAGAGCCUCUAGGAGCUGCUUUAUUUACAGUCAGAAGCCUUCCAUUGACAUCCUGUCCACAUAAACAGGUACUCAGCAACUCAUGUAACUGUAUAUUCUUAAAUUGUACUGGGACAUCCACAUCCAUAUAGGAUAGAAUCAUGAAAUUUCGAUAUGUGUGUGUGAUAGCACUCAUGCAUAGCAUAUAGAUGAAGUAAGUCAGUAUAAAGUAUUGAAGUUCACUUACAACAAAGCCUUCACUUGAACAGCACACAAACAGGCAUGUAUGUCUAAAAUCAAAGUCCUUACAGGCAUGUGCUAUGGGUUGGCCGUACAGGAGCUAGAAGAUUAGGAGCACUUCUCCAGCUCCUCCCUUGUUCCAAGCCAUUGCAUGGGACUAUGGGACGGGAGCAAGGAAAAGAUACUUAGGUCCAGCUCAAGUUGAAGCUCUGGUGCCAGAAACAUUGAAAACUAUAUUUUCCAACACUAGUUGAGACAGCAGCAACAUAAGCACAGGGGAAAGGUGGGGAAGUGCUGACUUUGUUACUUGUUCAAUGGCUUGUGGGUCCUACAAGAGGGGCUAGCACAUUGCAUGAAUUUUUAGUACAGAUGAAUUUGCUGGUGUGUCAGUUAGAUCCUCACACACCACUGCUCAUGCCCUAGGAAUGAGAAAAAUAUACCCCUAUGCCUUAGCAAUCUAUUAAUGUUUACAUGAACCAUAUUUAUAUGCAAGCUGCGAACAGCAUUCGAUGCAUAACACAGGUGUGCAAAUUAGUAGUUAACAAUGGUUAAAUGAAUUGUAACUAGCAUAAGCAAACAAGGCUAUUGUAACCAUAACUAAAGUACUAAACCCAGAAUUUAUCAAGAAAAACAGCUCCAUCAAGUCAUCAAAUACACUCACAUAGCGAUGGAACAUCUCCACUGCCUUCUCAGCCUCCUCAACAGUACUCAUGGUGACAAAUCCAAAUCCACGGCUCCGAUCUGUUUCUCUGUUGUAAAUGACCUGCAUAGCAACAAAGUAAGUUUACUUCAGAGCACAUAAGCAAACUCUUUUUUCAAGCCAGGGGGAACAGGAAGUCAGGAACACAUAUAUCCUCGAACGAGCAAACCAUGAAUAUCCUUGAACUAGGAGCAUCAUAAAAAAAUCCAUUAAACGCCUGACCUAACAGAUACAGCUAGGUAGGCACCUCCAUAGUGUGCAGAGGUUGGAUGAGCAACAAGUGUCAAGUGUACAUGUUCAGUGUCUUAGGCUGACAAUUUGUGCUGAAAGCUAAACAAGGCUUAGGGCCAUUUUGCUUAACAGCACAUAACAGGUUUUUAAUCACCUAGCCAAAGAUGCUGUUCUGAUAAGAACCUUUAAUCACAGCAAUAUCUCAACACACAACAAGAACAUCUCAUGAAGCAAUACCACAUUACAACAUACCGGAACCUAAAAUAUCUGAAGGAAUAAGGUCAUAAUUCGGGCAAGUAGGCUAAAGUAGCUGCACGUUUGCAACUCCAAAAGUGCAUUUCGCUACUCUUGCGUAGCGGCAUAAAGACAUUCGCACUACCUGACUAAAAGUGAAGCCGCUCCAGAAUGGAGGCAGCGGAGCCAGUCAGAAGUUUAAAUUGAGGCAAUUUUUAUGCAUGGCGUAUAAAAAUUAAGGAGGCGGAACCGCGGAAGCAACGGCUAGUCUCACCUCCGCGACCUCGACGACGCCGGCCUGCUCGAAGAGCUGCGCGAGGCGCUCGCUGUCGACGUCGUAGGGCAGGUUGCCGACGUAGACCUUGGCCUCCUCUGGCGGCUCGACGUACUCCCCGACCUCCUCCUCCUCCUCGACGGCAGCGUCCUCCUCCUCCUCCUCCCCCGACGCGAACGCCUCCUCCUGCUCCGACUCGGCCCCGUCGGCGGCGGUCGGCUCCGCGUAGUCGACGCCGACGGAGGACUCGAAGGAGUCGGAGGCGGCGAGUGGGGCGAGCGGUAGGCGGCGGGCGGAGCGGAGGCGGAGCAGGCGCGGGGGCGUCGGGGCGAGGAGGACGAGGAAGGGGGAGGUGGGGGUGGUGGGCUUCGUGAGGGAGGCGGAGGUGCUGGCGGAAGCGAGGGCGCGGAGGGACGCCGCGACGGAGGAGGCCAUGGUGGCGCCGC